RNAcentral lists this ribosomal RNA (427 nucleotides) under uncultured bacterium. RNAcentral describes it as "bacterial SSU rRNA". It matches the Rfam family "Bacterial small subunit ribosomal RNA", at positions 917 to 1341 of the family's 1533-position model. The record is from RNAcentral.
GGGCCCGCACAAGCGGUGGAGCAUGUGGCUUAAUUCGAGGCAACGCGAAGAACCUUACCUGGUCUUGACAUGCCCGUCAUAGUUUUCCGAAAGGAAUUCGUCAGUUCGGCUGGACGGUGCACAGGUGCUGCAUGGCUGUCGUCAGCUCGUGUCGUGAGAUGUUCGGUUAAGUCCGGCAACGAGCGCAACCCUCGUUUCCAGUUGCCAGCGGGUAAUGCCGGGGACUCUGGAAAGACAAACCUCUUGUUGAGGUGGGAAGGUGGGGACGACGUCAAGUCAGUAUGGCCCUUACGACCAGGGCUGCACACGUGCUACAAUGCCCGGCACAAUGGGAUGCAAUAUCGCGAGAUUGAGCAAAUCCACAAAACCGGGCCCAGUUCGGAUUGGAGUCUGCAACUCGACUCCAUGAAGUUGGAAUCGCUAGUAA